Molecule: ribosomal RNA, 492 nt
Filed under: uncultured bacterium
Lineage: Bacteria
Description: partial 16S ribosomal RNA
Rfam family: Bacterial small subunit ribosomal RNA
Source: RNAcentral
AGUGAACGCUGGCGGUAGGCCUAACACAUGCAAGUCGAACGGCAGCACAGUAAGAGCUUGCUCUUACGGGUGGCGAGUGGCGGACGGGUGAGGAAUACAUCGGAAUCUACUUUUUCGUGGGGGAUAACGUAGGGAAACUUACGCUAAUACCGCAUACGACCUACGGGUGAAAGCAGGGGAUCUUCGGACCUUGCGCGAUUGAAUGAGCCGAUGUCGGAUUAGCUAGUUGGCGGGGUAAAGGCCCACCAAGGCGUCGAUCCGUAGCUGGUCUGAGAGGAUGAUCAGCCACACUGGAACUGAGACACGGUCCAGACUCCUACGGGAGGCAGCAGUGGGGAAUAUUGGACAAUGGGCGCAAGCCUGAUCCAGCCAUACCGCGUGGGUGAAGAAGGCCUUCGGGUUGUAAAGCCCUUUUGUUGGGAAAGAGAAGCAGCAGGUUAAUACCCCGCUGUUCUGACGGUACCCAAAGAAUAAGCACCGGCUAACUUCGUG